GACGAACGCUGGCGGCGUGCCUAAUACAUGCAAGUUGAGCGCUGAAGGUUGGUACUUGUACCAACUGGAUGAGCAGCGCACGGGUGAGUAACGCGUGGGGAAUCUGCCUUUGAGCGGGGGACAACAUUUGGAAACGAAUGCUAAUACCGCAUAAAAACUUUAAACACAAGUUUUAAGUUUGAAAGAUGCAAUUGCAUCACUCAAAGAUGAUCCCGCGUUGUAUUAGCUAGUUGGUGAGGUAAAGGCUCACCAAGGCGAUGAUACAUAGCCGACCUGAGAGGGUGAUCGGCCACAUUGGGACUGAGACACGGCCCAAACUCCUACGGGAGGCAGCAGUAGGGAAUCUUCGGCAAUGGACGAAAGUCUGAGCGAGCAACGCCGCGUGAGUGAAGAAGGUUGUCGGAUCGUAAAACUCUGUUGGUAGAGAAGAACGUUGGUGAGAGUGGAAAGCUCAUCAAGUGACGGUAACUACCCAGAAAGGGACGGCUAACUACGUG
This 497-nucleotide ribosomal RNA is filed under the name uncultured bacterium. RNAcentral's name for it is "partial 16S ribosomal RNA". It matches the Rfam family "Bacterial small subunit ribosomal RNA", at positions 28 to 507 of the family's 1533-position model. The record is from RNAcentral.